Molecule: ribosomal RNA, 484 nt
Filed under: uncultured bacterium
Lineage: Bacteria
Description: partial 16S ribosomal RNA
Rfam family: Bacterial small subunit ribosomal RNA
Source: RNAcentral
AUUGAACGCUGGCGGCAUGCUUUACACAUGCAAGUCGAACGGCAGCGCGGGCUUCGGCCUGGCGGCGAGUGGCGAACGGGUGAGUAAUGCAUCGGAACGUGCCCAGUAGUGGGGGAUAGCCCGGCGAAAGCCGGAUUAAUACCGCAUACGACCUGAGGGUGAAAGCGGGGGACCGAAAGGCCUCGCGCUAUUGGAGCGGCCGAUGUCGGAUUAGCUAGUUGGUGGGGUAAAGGCUUACCAAGGCGACGAUCCGUAGCUGGUCUGAGAGGACGACCAGCCACACUGGGACUGAGACACGGCCCAGACUCCUACGGGAGGCAGCAGUGGGGAAUUUUAGACAAUGGGGGCAACCCUGAUCCAGCCAUGCCGCGUGCGGGAAGAAGGCCUUCGGGUUGUAAACCGCUUUUGUUCGGGAAGAAAUCCUCUGGGCUAAUACCCCGGGGGGAUGACGGUACCGGAAGAAUAAGCACCGGCUAACUACGUG